GAUGAACGCUGGCGGCGUGCCUAAUACAUGCAAGUCGAGCGAACGGACGAGAAGCUUGCUUUUCUGAUGUUAGCGGCGGACGGGUGAGUAACACGUGGAUAACCUACCUAUAAGACUGGGAUAACUUCGGGAAACCGGAGCUAAUACCGGAUAAUAUUUUGAACCGCAUGGUUCAAAAGUGAAAGACGGUCUUGCUGUCACUUAUAGAUGGAUCCGCGCUGCAUUAGCUAGUUGGUAAGGUAACGGCUUACCAAGGCAACGAUGCAUAGCCGACCUGAGAGGGUGAUCGGCCACACUGGAACUGAGACACGGUCCAGACUCCUACGGGAGGCAGCAGUAGGGAAUCUUCCGCAAAGGGCGAAAGCCUGACGGAGCAACGCCGCGUGAGUGAUGAAGGUCUUCGGAUCGUAAAACUCUGUUAUUAGGGAAGAACAUAUGUGUAAGUAACUGUGUACAUCUUGACGGUACCUAAUCAGAAAGCCACGGCUAACUACGUG
This 497-nucleotide ribosomal RNA is filed under the name uncultured bacterium. Its description in RNAcentral is "partial 16S ribosomal RNA". It matches the Rfam family "Bacterial small subunit ribosomal RNA", at positions 28 to 507 of the family's 1533-position model. The record is from RNAcentral.